GGCCCCGUGGUGGAAAUGGUAGACACAGCAGCUUUGGGAGCUGCCGCCUGCAAGCAUGUCGGUUCAAAUCCGGCCGGGGCCACCA
RNAcentral lists this transfer RNA (85 nucleotides) under Bradyrhizobium elkanii. RNAcentral describes it as "tRNA-Pro". It matches the Rfam family "tRNA". From Rfam's summary of the family: Transfer RNA (tRNA) molecules are approximately 80 nucleotides in length. Their secondary structure includes four short double-helical elements and three loops (D, anti-codon, and T loops). Further hydrogen bonds mediate the characteristic L-shaped molecular structure. tRNAs have two regions of fundamental functional importance: the anti-codon, which is responsible for specific mRNA codon recognition, and the 3' end, to which the tRNAs corresponding amino acid is attached (by aminoacyl-tRNA synthetases). tRNAs cope with the degeneracy of the genetic code in two manners: having more than one tRNA (with a specific anti-codon) for a particular amino acid; and 'wobble' base-pairing, i.e. permitting non-standard base-pairing at the 3rd anti-codon position. The record is from RNAcentral. Lineage: Bacteria; Pseudomonadati; Pseudomonadota; Alphaproteobacteria; Hyphomicrobiales; Nitrobacteraceae. RNAcentral also lists the same sequence under 2 other names.